GCAGUCGUGGCCGAGUGGUUAAGGCGAUGAACUAGAAAUCCAUUGGGGUCUCCCCGCACAGGGCGGAAUCCUGUCGACUGCG
Molecule: non-coding RNA, 82 nt
Organism: Ixodes scapularis (black-legged tick)
Lineage: Eukaryota; Metazoa; Arthropoda; Arachnida; Ixodida; Ixodidae
Source: Rfam